Molecule: ribosomal RNA, 435 nt
Filed under: uncultured Nitrosospira sp.
Lineage: Bacteria; Pseudomonadati; Pseudomonadota; Betaproteobacteria; Nitrosomonadales; Nitrosomonadaceae
Description: bacterial SSU rRNA
Rfam family: Bacterial small subunit ribosomal RNA
Source: RNAcentral
CUUUUGGAGCGGCCGAUGUCUGAUUAGCUAGUUGGUGAGGUAAAGGCUUACCAAGGCGUCGAUCAGUAGCUGGUCUGAGAGGACGACCAGCCACACUGGGACUGAGACACGGCCCAGACUCCUACGGGAGGCAGCAGUGGGGAAUUUUGGACAAUGGGGGAAACCCUGAUCCAGCCAUGCCGCGUGAGUGAAGAAGGCCUUCGGGUUGUAAAGCUCUUUCAGCCGGAACGAAACGGUCACGGCUAAUACCUGUGAAUACUGACGGUACCGGAAGAAGAAGCACCGGCUAACUACGUGCCAGCAGCCGCGGUAAUACGUAGGGUGCGAGCGUUAAUCGGAAUUACUGGGCGUAAAGCGUGCGCAGGCGGUUUUGUAAGUCAGAUGUGAAAUCCCCGGGCUUAACCUGGGAACUGCGUUUGAAACUACAAAGCUAGA